AUGUCUUCUGAUCAUGAGGUCACACUUGCCAUGUCCAUAAUGUUGCUGCUGUCUUUUGGGGUUCUUUGCUCAGCGGUUCCUGAGAACAACACAGAAGAUAUGCUCUCCCUGAUAGGUUUCAAGCAGGCGAUCACUUACGAUCCAUCGGGGAUCUUGAAACACUGGAACAGAAGCACCACCUUUUGCCGAUGGGAGGGCAUCAAAUGCAGCCGGAGACACCCAGGGCGCAUUGUGGAGCUGCACCUCGCCGGCCUGAAAUUGUCCGGCCAAAUCAGUUCCUUGGUUGGAAACCUCACGUUCCUAAAGAAACUCAACCUCUCAACAAACGGUCUGUCUGGCCGGUUGCCCCCACUGAACCGCCUCCACAGACAGCAAAUCCUUGACCUCGGCUACAACUCAUUGCAGGACACCAUUCCUGAUGCUCUUGCCAAUUGCUCCAAGCUGAGAAAAUUAUUCCUCUCCUAUAACUCUUUUGUAGGAGAAAUCCCACCCAAACUAGGCCUCCUCUCCAACUUAUCCGAUUUACGCUUCAACACAAAUAAUCUCACCGGAACCAUCCCAUCAACCUUUAGCAACAGUUCUAGCAUACAAGUUAUGUCUCUGUCAUAUAAUCACCUGUCGGGAGGUAUUCCCGAUGAACUCGGAAAGUUACCAAGUAUACGGUGGCUGGCCUUAGGUGGGAAUAGGCUAAUUGGUGGAUUCCCACAAGGCCUACUCAAUCUGUCUAAUUCCCUUCGAGUGCUUGGCUUGGAGUCGAAUAAGCUAGGAAACAGGUUGCCACUUAACAUUGGUGACAGCCUCUCUAAUCUCCAAUGGCUUUUCUUGAACCGUAACAUGUUCCAAGGGAAAAUACCAGCUUCCUUAGGUAAUGUUUUAGGGAUGGAAAGACUGGAGCUGGAGAAUAACAAUUUCACUGGUGAAAUUCCUUCUUCUUUGGGUAAGCUUAAAAGCCUGUACUAUUUGAAUCUUGGGGGAGACGGUCUUGAAGCAAAAGACGCCCAAAGCUGGGAGUUCUUUAAUGCAUUAAUAAACUGUAGCGGUCUAAAUAUCCUUGCUCUAGAUCGAAAUCAACUAGAUGGGACAAUACCAGGUUCAAUAGGAAACUUGUCAAAUAGUCUUGAGAUGCUAACUUUGGGUGGAAACAAGCUAUCGGGUAUAGUUCCCACAAGUGUGGCAAACCUUCAGUCCCUAAUUAAUCUGGGAUUUGAUUAUAACAAUUUAAGUGGAAAGAUUGUGGAAUGGGUUGGGAUGCUUACAAAAUUGCAAAGUUUAAAUCUUUAUCAGAACAAAUUCAGCGGGCCAAUUCCCUCUUCUAUGGGAAACCUAACUCAGUUGACGUUGCUCUCUCUAGCACUCAAUGAGUUUGAAGGUCCCAUACCGUCCAGCUUGGGGAAUCUAAAACAGCUCAUAUUGUUAGAUCUUAGCGAUAACACUCUCCAGAGCAACAUAACCCUAGAAGUUGGUGCCCUUAAACAAAUCGUUGACUUACGUCUUUCAUCAAACAAGCUUACUGGGGAGAUCCCUCACGUCUUAGGUCAAUGUCAGAACCUGGUAACCAUUCAAAUGGACCAAAACCUUCUCAUAGGAGACAUCCCAGCAUCUCUCGGGAACCUAAAGAGCUUGAACAUGGUUAAUCUCUCACAUAACAACUUGUCAGGAACCAUUCCUGAAGUUUUAGCUGACCUACCCCUCCUCGACAUGCUGGACCUUUCUUACAAUCAGCUCCAAGGAGAAGUUCCAAGAACUGGAGUAUUUAAAAAUGCUCCAUCAGUUUAUCUUGAUGGCAAUUUUGCACUAUGCGGAGGAGUGGUGGAUCUCGGAAUGCCCUUGUGUCCUGCUACUUCCCAAAGAAAAGGAAAGAAGUACUAUUUGGUCAGAGUGUUGAUUCCAGUAUUUGGCUUCUUAUCACUCAUCAUGUUGAUUGCAAUUAUAACUCUUCAUAAGAAGAAGAAGUCACACAGAGCAUACAUAUCAUCGACUUCCUUUGGUGGAAAAUUCCCUAGACUUUCUUACUAUGAUCUAGCUCGAGCUACUGGGAACUUCUGUGAAGCAAAUGUAAUUGGCAGAGGAAGUUGUGGUUCAGUUUACAGAGGAAAAUUGACUCAACUUGAAAUGGAAGUGGCUAUUAAGGUUUUCGAUCCCAAGAUGAGAUGUGUAGAUAAAAGUUUCAUAUCAGAAUGUAAGGUUCUGAGAAGCAUUAGACAUCGGUACAUUACUCCUAUCCUAACAGCUUGUCUGUCAAUAGAUAAUUCAGGUAAUGCUUUCAAGGCUCUGAUUUAUGUACUCAUGCCAAACAGAAAUUUGGACAAAUGGUUACAUGAAAAACCUGCUGGUGAAGAACCUAUUGUAUUGGGCUUAGGGCAAAGGAUAAGCAUGGUUGUUAAUAUUGCUGAUGCAUUGGCCUACUUGCACCAUGAUUCUAGAAGAUCCAUUGUCCAUCGUGAUUUGAAGCCUAGCAAUAUCCUCCUAGACGUUGAUAUGAAUGCACAUUUGGGUGACUUUGGCAUUGCAAACCUCGUACUUCAAUCUGGGUCCGCAACAGUUGGACAGUCAAGUUCAGGCACAAGUUCAAGCAACUCAGUCGGAUUGAAGGGGACAAUAGGAUAUAUAGCUCCAGAGUAUGCCAAUAGUGGCCAAGCAUCAACAUGUGGUGAUGUUUUCAGCUUUGGAAUAAUCAUUCUAGAGAUGCUGAUAGGCAAAAGACCAACGGACUGCAUGUUUCAGGAUGGCCUCAGCAUUGUCAACUUUGUGGAGAGGAACUUCCCAGAUCAGAUAGUACGUAUAAUCGAUGUUCAUCUCCAAGAAGAAUGUUGCGGAUACAUUCAUGGAGCAGACGAAAUAGGAAACAUUGUCUAUCAAUGCGUUUUGUCGCUUACACAAUUAGCACUUUCUUGCACGUGUGUGCUCCCGAAGGAAAGAAUGAUCAUGCGAGAAGUAGCCAUUAAGUUGCACGCAAUCAGAGUGUCAUAUGUUGGAGCGACCAAGGUCCAGCAAGAUGAAGCUCGUACACAAGCUCCAUCAGGAGAUAGGGAGGAUCUGGCAGAAGGUUCCUCUUGA
RNAcentral lists this ribosomal RNA (3057 nucleotides) under Triticum aestivum (bread wheat). RNAcentral describes it as "partial small subunit ribosomal RNA". Lineage: Eukaryota; Viridiplantae; Streptophyta; Magnoliopsida; Poales; Poaceae. The record is from RNAcentral.